Molecule: ribosomal RNA, 253 nt
Filed under: uncultured bacterium
Lineage: Bacteria
Description: partial 16S ribosomal RNA
Rfam family: Bacterial small subunit ribosomal RNA
Source: RNAcentral
UACGUAGGGUGCAAGCGUUAAUCGGAAUUAUUGGGCGUAAAGGGUGCGCAGGCGGAUAUAUAAGUUAGGUGUGAAAGCCUCAGGCUUAACCUGAGAAUUGCAUCUAAGACUGUAUAUCUAGAGUUUGGCAGAGGGGGGCGGAAUUCCACGUGUAGCAGUGAAAUGCGUAGAUAUGUGGAGGAACACCGAAGGCGAAGGCAACCCCCUGGGCUAAAACUGACGCUCAGGCACGAAAGCGUGGGUAGCAAACAGG